RNAcentral lists this unclassified non-coding RNA (437 nucleotides) under Hevea brasiliensis (rubber tree). Lineage: Eukaryota; Viridiplantae; Streptophyta; Magnoliopsida; Malpighiales; Euphorbiaceae. The record is from RNAcentral.
GCCUUUAGUUCAGCCACAACUUCCCUGAAAGAACAAAUUCACUACACUCUCAACAUAGAAACACAAGAAGCAUACCAUUGGCACAUAAAUUUGUUGCUGUGAAGUUCAUAAUAGCGUUCAGCCCACAUUUAUUAGAACCUUACAAUUCGAUUCGAUUUUCCAUCCUAGCCAUUCGAAUUUAUGGAGUGAAACUCAAAUGUACUUGAAUCUUACCCGAAUCUUAUGCUUCAAUAAUGAAUAGGGUCAAUCGGUCAAUUCUUUUUCUAAAGGUUUGUUAGACCCCAUAGCUUCAAAAUAUAAUAUUUCCCUUCAUUUUUUACUGGGAAAAGUGUGCAUAAAACUUUUCCUUACCUAUUUUUCUUCCACUAGCCAUUCUUUUCCCUCUCCCUUUUCUUUCUUUUUCUUUUUUUUAUUUUUUGUUAAUUUACUCCUCUAAU